UCGGUUAGUCGGCACGAGCGCACCUCAUCUUCAGUUACUAACAGGUUAUGCUGAGGACUCUGGAGAAACUGCCGUUGGAAAAGCGGAGGAAGGCGAGGAUGACGUCAAGUCCUCAUGGCCCUUAUGGGCUGGGCUACACACGUGCUACAAUGGUAAUUACAAUAGGUCGCGAAAAGGCAACUUUUAGCUAAUCUUCAAAAAUUAUCUUAGUUCGGAUUGUUCUCUGCAACUCGAGAGCAUGAAGUUGGAAUUGCUAGUAAUCGUGGAUCAGCAUGCCACGGUGAAUACGUUCCCGGGUCUUGUACACACCGCCCGUCACACCAUGGGAGUUGGUUUUACCUGAAGCCGAUUUUUAAUCGUCCACGGUAAGGUCAGCGACUGGGGUGAAGUCGUAACAAGGUAGCCGUAGGGGAACCUGCGGCUGGAACACCUCCUUUCU
This 439-nucleotide ribosomal RNA is filed under the name uncultured Alphaproteobacteria bacterium. RNAcentral's name for it is "bacterial SSU rRNA". It matches the Rfam family "Bacterial small subunit ribosomal RNA", at positions 1077 to 1533 of the family's 1533-position model. The record is from RNAcentral. Lineage: Bacteria; Pseudomonadati; Pseudomonadota; Alphaproteobacteria.